GAUGAACGCUGGCGGCGUGCCUAAUACAUGCAAGUCGAGCGAACAGAUGAGGAGCUUGCUCCUCUGACGUUAGCGGCGGACGGGUGAGUAACACGUGGAUAACCUACCUAUAAGACUGGGAUAACUUCGGGAAACCGGAGCUAAUACCGGAUAAUAUAUUGAACCGCAUGGUUCAAUAGUGAAAGACGGUUUUGCUGUCACUUAUAGCUGGAUCCGCGCCGCAUUAGCUAGUUGGUAAGGUAACGGCUUACCAAGGCAACGAUGCGUAGCCGACCUGAGAGGGUGAUCGGCCACACUGGAACUGAGACACGGUCCAGACUCCUACGGGAGGCAGCAGUAGGGAAUCUUCCGCAAUGGGCGAAAGCCUGACGGAGCAACGCCGCGUGAGUGAUGAAGGUCUUCGGAUCGUAAAACUCUGUUAUUAGGGAAGAACAAAUGUGUAAGUAACUAUGCACGUCUUGACGGUACCUAAUCAGAAAGCCACGGCUAACUACGUG
This 497-nucleotide ribosomal RNA is filed under the name uncultured bacterium. RNAcentral's name for it is "partial 16S ribosomal RNA". It matches the Rfam family "Bacterial small subunit ribosomal RNA", at positions 28 to 507 of the family's 1533-position model. The record is from RNAcentral.